AGGCCUCUGUAUGCAUGGUGAAGGCUGAAGACACUCAGGCACUGGCUAAUUCCACAAAUCUCUCCAUCAGAGACCAGAAAAUCACUGCUUCAACAGCCAAGAAACCUGAAGGAGUGCAGUCUCCUGAUGCCAACAACAGCAAACCUGCUUCAGGACAG
Molecule: long non-coding RNA, 158 nt
Organism: Toxotes jaculatrix (banded archerfish)
Lineage: Eukaryota; Metazoa; Chordata; Actinopteri; Toxotidae
Exons: 3
Source: RefSeq, a predicted model, not a curated record